UACGUAGGUGGCAAGCGUUGUCCGGAUUUACUGGGCGUAAAGAGCGCGCAGGCGGUCGUUCAAGUCGCGUGUGAAAGCCCCCGGCUCAACUGGGGAGGGUCACGCGAUACUGAUCGACUCGAAGGCAGGAGAGGGAAGUGGAAUUCCCGGUGCAGUGGUGAAAUGCGUAGAUAUCGGGAGGAACACCAGUGGCGAAGGCGACUUCCUGGCCUGUUCUUGACGCUGAGGCGCGAAAGCUAGGGGAGCAAACGGG
RNAcentral lists this ribosomal RNA (253 nucleotides) under uncultured bacterium. RNAcentral describes it as "partial 16S ribosomal RNA". It matches the Rfam family "Bacterial small subunit ribosomal RNA", at positions 524 to 776 of the family's 1533-position model. The record is from RNAcentral.